This 22-nucleotide unclassified non-coding RNA is filed under the name Mus musculus (house mouse). Its description in RNAcentral is "oocyte_clustered_small_RNA14108". Lineage: Eukaryota; Metazoa; Chordata; Mammalia; Rodentia; Muridae. The record is from RNAcentral.
UCUCCAUGGCCUCUAUGUCAGC